UUUUCCGGUUGAUCCUGCCGGACCCUACUGCUAUCGGGGUGGGACUAAGACAUGCGAGUUGAGCGUCUCUAGCCAUGGUGAGACGCGGCAUACGGCUCAGUAACACGUGGCUAACCUACCCUCAGGACAGGGACAAACCCGGGAAACUGGGGCUAAUACCCGAUAGGCGAGGAAGCCUGGAAUGGCUCUUCACCCAAAAGGCUUUGAAAGCAUGCUUUUCAAACUCGCCUGAGGAUGAGGCCGCGUCCGAUCAGGUUGUUGGUGAGGUAAUGGCUCACCAAGCCUAUAACCGGUACGGGCCGUGAGAGCGGGAGCCCGGAGAUGGGCACUGAGACAAGGGCCCAGGCCCUACGGGGCGCAGCAGUCGCGAAAACUCCGCAAUGCACGAAAGUGUGACGGGGCUACCCCGAGUGCCUUCCGCUGAGGAUGGCUUUUCCCCGGUGUAACUAGCCGGGGGAAUAAGGAGAGGGCAAGACUGGUGUCAGCCGCCGCGGUAAUACCAGCUCUCCGAGUGGUAGGGAUGAUUAUUGGGCUUAAAGCGUCCGUAGCCGGCUUAGCAAGUCUCCUGUUAAAUUCAGCGACCUAAUCGUUGAGCCGCGGGAGAUACUACUAGGCUAGGAGGCGGGAGAGGCCGACGGUACUUCCGGGGUAGGGGUGAAAUCCUAUAAUCCCGGGAGGACCACCAGUGGCGAAGGCUGUCGGCUGGAACGCGCUCGACGGUGAGGGACGAAAGCUGGGGGAGCGAACCGGAUUAGAUACCCGGGUAGUCCCAGCUGUAAACGAUGCGGGCUAGGUGUUGGGGUGGCUACGAGCCACCUCAGUGCCGCAGGGAAGCCAUUAAGCCCGCCGCCUGGGAAGUACGGCCGCAAGGCUGAAACUUAAAGGAAUUGGCGGGGGAGCACCACAAGGCGUGAGGCUUGCGGUUCAAUUGGAGUCAACGCCGGAAAUCACUAGU
This 955-nucleotide ribosomal RNA is filed under the name uncultured archaeon. RNAcentral describes it as "bacterial SSU rRNA". It matches the Rfam family "Archaeal small subunit ribosomal RNA", at positions 1 to 934 of the family's 1478-position model. The record is from RNAcentral.